AUACGUAGGCGGCAAGCGUUAUCCGGAAUUAUUGGGCGCAAAGAGGGAGCAGGCGGCAGCAAGGGGCUGUGGUGCAAGCCUGAAGCUUAACUUCAGUAAGCCAUAGAAACCAGGCAGCUCGAGUGCCGGAGAGGAUCGUGGAGUUCCAUGUGUAGCGGUGAAAUGCGUAGAUAUAUGGAGGAACACCAGUGGCGAAGGCGACGAUCUGGCACGCAACUGACGCUCAGCCCCGAAAGGGUGGGGAGCAAAUAGUAUUAGAUACCCUAGUAGUCCACGCCGUAAACGAUGAGUACUAAGUGUUGGAUGUCAAAGUUCAGUGCUGCAGUUAACGCAAUAAGUACUCCGCCUGAGUAGUACGUUCGCAAGAAUGAAACUCAAAGGAAUUGACGGGG
This 392-nucleotide ribosomal RNA is filed under the name uncultured bacterium. RNAcentral's name for it is "partial 16S ribosomal RNA". It matches the Rfam family "Bacterial small subunit ribosomal RNA", at positions 523 to 918 of the family's 1533-position model. The record is from RNAcentral.